Long non-coding RNA from Mus musculus (house mouse), 504 nucleotides. RefSeq annotates it as predicted gene, 38810. The transcript has 2 exons. NCBI's taxonomy places the organism in Eukaryota, Metazoa, Chordata, Mammalia, Rodentia, Muridae. The record is from RefSeq and is a predicted model, not a curated record.
AGCGAGCCAAUAGCAAAGAAGUAAAAGACCGCCCUCCAGUCCCACGGGCCGCCAUGCAGGAGAGGAUUAUACUGCAUAUGCGGCCUCACACCCCCUUCAAAUCGCUGUUAAUGUCAGUUACUUGUCUUGGAGCUGGGUCCCAUCCUAACAGCAUCCUCAGAAUCAGCACAGUAGCCGUUUCUGCACCCAAGACAAACGGCAUCUCUGCGUGUGAGUUUUGAAUGUAAGAGUAGAAAUGUGCGAUGGGAUAUGAACAUGUGAGAUGCAGGACGAGGCUAGAGAUGCUGAAUCCCCUGGAACUGGAGUUAGAGGUGGAUGUCAGGCACCUGACCUGCCAAGAACCAAAUUGCCAUCCUCUAGAAGAGCAGCAGUACCUGUCCCCUCCCAGCAGUGUGGUACCCUAGCCCUGCAUCGGGUCAUUUGAAAGCUAAUCAUUGUCGACAAUAAAGAAUUCUACUUAUGUCUGAAAAGCUUGGAUAUUUAAUUAAAGAAUGCCAGAACAAG